This 239-nucleotide ribosomal RNA is filed under the name uncultured bacterium. RNAcentral describes it as "partial 16S ribosomal RNA". It matches the Rfam family "Bacterial small subunit ribosomal RNA", at positions 524 to 763 of the family's 1533-position model. The record is from RNAcentral.
UACGGGGGGGGCAAGCGUUGUUCGGAAUUACUGGGCGUAAAGGGCUCGUAGGCGGCCAACUAAGUCAGACGUGAAAUCCCUCGGCUUAACCGGGGAACUGCGUCUGAUACUGGAUGGCUUGAGGUUGGGAGAGGGAUGCGGAAUUCCUGGUGUAGCGGUGAAAUGCGUAGAUACCAGGAGGAACACCGGUGGCGAAGGCGGGUCUCUGGGCCGAUACUGACGCUGAGGAGCGAAGCGUG